AACGGCCGUACCAUGCUGAAUAUACCGGUUCUCGUUAGAUCACCGAAGUCAAGCAUCAUUGGGCGCGGUCAGUACUUGGGUGGGUGACCACCUGGGAACAACA
This 103-nucleotide ribosomal RNA is filed under the name Caerostris darwini. Lineage: Eukaryota; Metazoa; Arthropoda; Arachnida; Araneae; Araneidae. The record is from RNAcentral.